Molecule: transfer RNA, 71 nt
Filed under: Diptera sp. 53 LC-2017
Lineage: Eukaryota; Metazoa; Arthropoda; Insecta; Diptera
Description: tRNA-Gly
Source: RNAcentral
AUAUUUUAAUAUAAAUUAUAUUAUAUAUAAUUUCCAAUUAUAAAAUUAUUUAAAAACCAAAAAGAGGUAUA